GAAGGUACAGCCCAGUGGUAGAGCAUGUGCUUAGCACGCAGGAGAUCUUGGGUUCAAUCCCCAGUAUCUCCA
RNAcentral lists this transfer RNA (72 nucleotides) under Camelus bactrianus (Bactrian camel). It matches the Rfam family "tRNA". From Rfam's summary of the family: Transfer RNA (tRNA) molecules are approximately 80 nucleotides in length. Their secondary structure includes four short double-helical elements and three loops (D, anti-codon, and T loops). RNAcentral also lists the same sequence under 2 other names. The record is from Rfam by way of RNAcentral. Lineage: Eukaryota; Metazoa; Chordata; Mammalia; Artiodactyla; Camelidae.